GGGGGCGAGCGUUGUCCGGAGUUACUGGGCGUAAAGCGCACGCAGGCGGUCUGCGACGUGUUGAGUGACAGGGUUCGGCUUAACUGAACCGGAGCUGGGCAAACGGGCAGACUUGAGGCUUCCAGAGGGACACGGAAUUCCGGGUGGAGCGGUGAAAUGCGUAGAGAUCCGGAGGAACACCGAAGGCGCAGGCAGUGUCCUGGGGAAGUACUGACGCUCAGGUGCGAAAGCUAGGGGAGCGAACGGGAUUAGAUACCCUGGUAGUCAAGGGCGAAUUCGUUUAA
This 284-nucleotide ribosomal RNA is filed under the name uncultured bacterium. RNAcentral describes it as "partial 16S ribosomal RNA". It matches the Rfam family "Bacterial small subunit ribosomal RNA", at positions 530 to 813 of the family's 1533-position model. The record is from RNAcentral.